GGGCCCAUAGUUUAACGGUAGAACAUCUGGCUGGCAGUCAGAUAGUUGGAGUUCGAUUCUCCAUGGGUCCA
Molecule: transfer RNA, 71 nt
Filed under: Candidatus Wolfebacteria bacterium RIFCSPHIGHO2_01_FULL_48_22
Lineage: Bacteria; Candidatus Wolfeibacteriota
Also listed under: 1 other name
Description: tRNA-Ala
Rfam family: tRNA
About the family: Transfer RNA (tRNA) molecules are approximately 80 nucleotides in length.
Source: RNAcentral